RNAcentral lists this ribosomal RNA (443 nucleotides) under uncultured bacterium. Its description in RNAcentral is "bacterial SSU rRNA". It matches the Rfam family "Bacterial small subunit ribosomal RNA", at positions 354 to 796 of the family's 1533-position model. The record is from RNAcentral.
GUGGGGAAUAUUGCACAAUGGGCGCAAGCCUGAUGCAGCGACGCCGCGUGAAGGAUGAAGGUCUUCGGAUUGUAAACUUCUAUCAGCAGGGAAGAAAGUAAGCCUUUGGGCUUACCUGACGGUACCUGACUAAGAAGCACCGGCUAACUACGUGCCAGCAGCCGCGGUAAUACGUAGGGUGCAAGCGUUAUCCGGAAUUACUGGGUGUAAAGGGUGCGUAGGCGGCUAUGCAAGUCGGAUGUGAAAACUCAGGGCUCAACCUUGAGAUUGCAUCUGAAACUAUGUAGCUAGAGUGUGGGAGAGGAAAGUGGAAUUCCGAGUGUAGCGGUGAAAUGCGUAGAGAUUCGGAGGAACACCAGUAGCGAAGGCGGCUUUCUGGACCAUUACUGACGCUGAGGCACGAAAGCGUGGGGAGCAAACAGGAUUAGAAACCCUAGUAGUCC